Molecule: ribosomal RNA, 427 nt
Filed under: uncultured bacterium
Lineage: Bacteria
Description: partial 16S ribosomal RNA
Rfam family: Bacterial small subunit ribosomal RNA
Source: RNAcentral
GUGAGGAAUCUUCCACAAUGGGCGAAAGCCUGAUGGAGCAACGCCGCGUGAAGGAUGAAGGUCUUCGGAUUGUAAACUUCUUUUAUGAGUGAAGAAUAUGACGGUAAUUCAUGAAUAAGCACCGGCUAACUACGUGCCAGCAGCCGCGGUCAUACGUAGGGUGCAAGCAUUAUCCGGAGUGACGGGGCGUAAAGAGUUGCGUAGGCGGUUAUGUAAGCGAAUAGUGAAACCUGGUGGCUCAACCACACAGACUAUUAUUUGAACUGCAUAACUAGAGAAUGGUAGAGGUAACUGGAAUUUCUUGUGUAGGAGUGAAAUCCGUAGAUAUAAGAAGGAACACCAAUGGCGUAGGCAGGUUACUGGGCCAUUUCUGACGCUAAGGCACGAAAGCGUGGGGAGCGAACCGGAUUAGAUACCCCUGUAGUCC